GUAAAUAUAGUUUAAUAUAAAACUUUAGGUUGUGAGCCUAAAAAUAGAAGUUCGAAUCUUCUCAUUUACC
Molecule: transfer RNA, 70 nt
Filed under: Crossarchus platycephalus (flat-headed kusimanse)
Lineage: Eukaryota; Metazoa; Chordata; Mammalia; Carnivora; Herpestidae
Description: tRNA-His
Rfam family: tRNA
About the family: Transfer RNA (tRNA) molecules are approximately 80 nucleotides in length. Their secondary structure includes four short double-helical elements and three loops (D, anti-codon, and T loops).
Source: RNAcentral